Molecule: ribosomal RNA, 468 nt
Filed under: uncultured bacterium
Lineage: Bacteria
Description: partial 16S ribosomal RNA
Rfam family: Bacterial small subunit ribosomal RNA
Source: RNAcentral
GACGAACGCUGGCGGCGUGCUUAACACAUGCAAGUCGAACGGAAAGGCCCUGCUUUUGUGGGGUGCUCGAGUGGCGAACGGGUGAGUAACACGUGAGUAACCUGCCCUUGACUUUGGGAUAACUUCAGGAAACUGGGGCUCAUACCGGAUAGGAGCUCCUGAUGCAUGGUGGGGGUUGGAAAGUUUCGGCGGUUGGGGAUGGACUCGCGGCUUAUCAGCUUGUUGGUGGGGUAGUGGCUUACCAAGGCUUUGACGGGUAGCCGGCCUGAGAGGGUGACCGGCCACAUUGGGACUGAGAUACGGCCCAGACGCCUACGGGAGGCAGCAGUGGAGAAUAUUGCACAAUGGGCGGAAGCCUGAUGCAGCAACGCCGCGUGCGGGAUGACGGCCUUCGGGUUGUAAACCGCUUUCGCCUGUGACGAAGCGUGAGUGACGGUAAUGGGUAAAGAAGCACCGGCUAACUACGUG